AGGAGUGUAGCUCAGCUGGUAGAGUACCGGUCUCCAAAACCGAUGGUCGCAGGUUCGAUCCCUGUCACUCCUGCCA
Molecule: transfer RNA, 76 nt
Filed under: bacterium
Lineage: Bacteria
Description: tRNA-Trp
Rfam family: tRNA
About the family: Transfer RNA (tRNA) molecules are approximately 80 nucleotides in length.
Source: RNAcentral